UCUCAUCAAGGGUUCCAUAAGGGUUUCAUCAAGAGUUCCAUCAGGGUUUCAUCAAGGUCUCCAUCAAGGGUUUCAUCAAAGUUUUUUAUCAAGUUUUUUUAUCAAGGGUUCCACCAGGGUUUCAUCGAGGGCUCCAUCCUGAAUGUGCAUGAUGAUCGUAUCCUUGUUGUAGCAGGUCAGUGUUGUGAGCUAGUUUGCCAUGCUUGUGGAAGUUUAUUCAUUGCUUCCAUUCCCUUGUGGCAGCUUGAUUCAUGCCUCCUGCAGGUCUUGC
RNAcentral lists this long non-coding RNA (271 nucleotides) under Lathyrus oleraceus (garden pea). RNAcentral describes it as "Pisum sativum (pea) long non-coding RNA (PSAT_LNC024031)". The record is from RNAcentral. Lineage: Eukaryota; Viridiplantae; Streptophyta; Magnoliopsida; Fabales; Fabaceae.